CGUGUAGGCGGUUCGGUAAGUUGGACGUGAAAGCUCCUGGCUCAACUGGGAGAGGUCGUUCAAAACUGCCGGGCUAGAGGACGGUAGAGGGAGGUGGAAUUCCCGGUGUAGUGGUGAAAUGCGUAGAUAUCGGGAGGAACACCAGUGGCGAAGGCGGCCUCCUGGGCCGUUCCUGACGCUCAGACGCGAAAGCUAGGGGAGCGAACG
This 207-nucleotide ribosomal RNA is filed under the name uncultured bacterium. RNAcentral describes it as "partial 16S ribosomal RNA". It matches the Rfam family "Bacterial small subunit ribosomal RNA", at positions 568 to 774 of the family's 1533-position model. The record is from RNAcentral.